Aricia agestis (brown argus) is the source of this 70-nucleotide long non-coding RNA. RefSeq lists it as uncharacterized. The transcript is spliced from 3 exons. The record is from RefSeq and is a predicted model, not a curated record. Lineage: Eukaryota; Metazoa; Arthropoda; Insecta; Lepidoptera; Lycaenidae.
UGUAUGGGAGUGUGACGUUCUUGCGAUGCGACGUCGCAUCGCAGUUUUGUGUACAAGCCCUUAAAAUAUA